RNAcentral lists this microRNA precursor (94 nucleotides) under Nannospalax galili (Upper Galilee mountains blind mole rat). RNAcentral's name for it is "miRNA (ENSNGAG00000009978.1)". The stretch from base 12 to 86 matches the Rfam family "mir-101 microRNA precursor family". Rfam says of the family: The hairpin precursors (represented here) are predicted based on base pairing and cross-species conservation -- their extents are not known. In this case the mature sequence is excised from the 3' arm of the hairpin. The record is from RNAcentral. Lineage: Eukaryota; Metazoa; Chordata; Mammalia; Rodentia; Spalacidae.
UGAGACUGAACUGUCCUUUUUCGGUUAUCAUGGUACCGAUGCUGUAUAUCUGAAAGGUACAGUACUGUGAUAACUGAAGAAUGGUGGUGCCAUC